This 597-nucleotide ribosomal RNA is filed under the name Campanella sp. (in: basidiomycete fungi). RNAcentral describes it as "LSU rRNA". It matches the Rfam family "Eukaryotic large subunit ribosomal RNA", at positions 34 to 621 of the family's 3401-position model. The record is from RNAcentral. Lineage: Eukaryota; Fungi; Basidiomycota; Agaricomycetes; Agaricales; Campanellaceae.
UUAAGCAUAUCAAUAAGCGGAGGAAAAGAAACUAACAAGGAUUCCCCUAGUAACUGCGAGUGAAGAGGGAAAAGCUCAAAUUUAAAAUCUGGCAGUCUCUGGCUGUCCGAGUUGUAAUUUAGAGAAGUGUUACCCGCGUUGGACCGUGUAUAAGUCUCCUGGAAUGGAGCGUCAUAGAGGGUGAGAAUCCCGUCUUUGACACGGACUACCAAGGCAUUGUGGUGCGCUCUCGAAGAGUCGUGUUGUUUGGGAAUGCAGCACUAAAUGGGUGGUAAAUUCCAUCUAAAGCUAAAUAUUGGCGAGAGACCGAUAGCGAACAAGUACCGUGAGGGAAAGAUGAAAAGAACUUUGGAAAGAGAGUUAAACAGUACGUGAAAUUGCUGAAAGGGAAACGCUUGAAGUCAGUCGCGUUGGCUAGGGAUCAACCUUGCUUUUGUGGGGUGUACUUCCUAGUUAACGGGUCAACAUCAGUUUUGACUGCUGGAAAAAGGCCAGGGAAAUGUGACAACUCCGGUUGUGUUAUAGUCUCUGGUCAUAUACAGUGGUUGGGACUGAGGAACUCAGCACGCCGCAAGGCCGGGUUUUUAACCACGUUCG